UGAGGUUUGGCUCAAGGGUAGAGUGCUCACCUAGCAUGCGUGAGGCCCUGUGUUCAAUCCUCAACACCACAU
This 72-nucleotide transfer RNA is filed under the name Marmota monax (woodchuck). RNAcentral describes it as "tRNA.Ala". The record is from RNAcentral. Lineage: Eukaryota; Metazoa; Chordata; Mammalia; Rodentia; Sciuridae.